UUACGCGACCAAGGGUCUCGUAUGUAUAGAGAGGAUGGUUCACCCCUGACGCAAUGUUCCCUCAUACUGCUGCAGCGCCCCUGAGUAGCGUACUGUGUAUUCAAGACCGGCCUAAGAAGAAAGUCGGACGAAACUAGUUUUUUAGUUGUGUUUAUAUUCUCUGUACACUUGAGUUCAUACCAGGCGGUUUUUAGACCAGUUGGUUGUUUGAUUUCAUGGCGUUAUUUGCGAGUAUUUUGUGGUCUUUGUGAUAUUUUGUGGAGGCUCAACCUGUUGAAUUUUCCUGCUGUAUGAAUAAAAUUCUGAGUUCUACGUUGAUUAUUCAUCAUGAAGAGAGCAGACGAAAGUUACGACAAACCAUCGCAGAAUACCACAAGGAUUGAUUUAGGAUCCGCAGCUGGCAGAAUAACAUCGGAUAUUCGCUGAAAAACAAGAUUUGAAAACUUAUAUUUUAUACAGAAGAAAACUUAUAUUUUAUACAGAA
Eurytemora carolleeae is the source of this 484-nucleotide long non-coding RNA. RefSeq lists it as uncharacterized. The record is from RefSeq and is a predicted model, not a curated record. NCBI's taxonomy places the organism in Eukaryota, Metazoa, Arthropoda, Copepoda, Calanoida, Temoridae. The transcript has 3 exons.